GUGCUGGCUUCUCCAGCAGCACAUUUACUAAAAAUUGGAACGAUGCAGAGUAUAUUAGCAUGGUCUCUGCUCAAGGAUGACACAAAAUUUGUGGAGCAUUCCAUAUUUUU
This is a small nuclear RNA of Ailuropoda melanoleuca (giant panda), 110 nucleotides long. NCBI's taxonomy places the organism in Eukaryota, Metazoa, Chordata, Mammalia, Carnivora, Ursidae. The record is from Ensembl.